This 253-nucleotide ribosomal RNA is filed under the name uncultured bacterium. Its description in RNAcentral is "partial 16S ribosomal RNA". It matches the Rfam family "Bacterial small subunit ribosomal RNA", at positions 524 to 776 of the family's 1533-position model. The record is from RNAcentral.
UACGAAGGGGGCUAGCGUUGCUCGGAAUCACUGGGCGUAAAGGGUGCGUAGGCGGGUUUUUAAGUCAGGGGUGAAAUCCUGGAGCUCAACUCCAGAACUGCCUUUGAUACUGAAGAUCUUGAGUCCGGGAGAGGUGAGUGGAACUGCGAGUGUAGAGGUGAAAUUCGUAGAUAUUCGCAAGAACACCAGUGGCGAAGGCGGCAUCCUGGACCGACACUGACGCUGAGGAGCGAAAGCCAGGGGAGCAAACGGG